This 253-nucleotide ribosomal RNA is filed under the name uncultured bacterium. RNAcentral describes it as "partial 16S ribosomal RNA". It matches the Rfam family "Bacterial small subunit ribosomal RNA", at positions 524 to 776 of the family's 1533-position model. The record is from RNAcentral.
GACAGAGGAUGCAAGCGUUAUCCGGAUUGAUUGGGCGUAAAGCGUUCGCAGGUGGCUUACCAAGUCUUUCGUUAAAUAUCAGAGCCCAACUUUGAACAGGCGUAGGAAACUCGAAAGCUAGAGUACGGUAGAGGCAGUGGGAAUUUCCGGUGUAGCGGUGAAAUGCGUAGAUAUCGGAAGGAACACCAGAGGCGAAGGCGCUCUGCUGGGCCGGGACUGACACUGAGGAACGAAAGCUGGGGGAGCGAAUGGG